GGAUUAGUGGCGAACGGGUGAGUAACACGUGAGCAAUCUGCCCUUGACUCUGGGAUAAGCGUUGGAAACGACGUCUAAUACCGGAUACGACCCUCGGAGGCAUCUCCUGGGGGUGGAAAGAAUUUUGGUCAAGGAUGAGCUCGCGGCCUAUCAGCUUGUUGGUGAGGUAAUGGCUCACCAAGGCGACGACGGGUAGCCGGCCUGAGAGGGUGACCGGCCACACUGGGACUGAGACACGGCCCAGACUCCUACGGGAGGCAGCAGUGGGGAAUAUUGCACAAUGGGCGAAAGCCUGAUGCAGCAACGCCGCGUGAGGGACGACGGCCUUCGGGUUGUAAACCUCUUUUAGUAGGGAAGAAGCGAAAGUGACGGUACCUGCAGAAAAAGCACCGGCUAACUACGUGCCAGCAGCCGCGGUAAUACGUAGGGUGCAAGCGUUGUCCGGAAUUAUUGGGCGUAAAGAGCUCGUAGGCGGUUUGUCGCGUCUGCUGUGAAAACCCGAGGCUCAACCUCGGGCCUGCAGUGGGUACGGGCAGACUAGAGUGCGGUAGGGGAGAUUGGAAUUCCUGGUGUAGCGGUGGAAUGCGCAGAUAUCAGGAGGAACACCGAUGGCGAAGGCAGAUCUCUGGGCCGUAACUGACGCUGAGGAGCGAAAGCAUGGGGAGCGAACAGGAUUAGAUACCCUGGUAGU
RNAcentral lists this ribosomal RNA (691 nucleotides) under Cryobacterium psychrotolerans. RNAcentral's name for it is "bacterial SSU rRNA". It matches the Rfam family "Bacterial small subunit ribosomal RNA", at positions 89 to 794 of the family's 1533-position model. The record is from RNAcentral. Lineage: Bacteria; Bacillati; Actinomycetota; Actinomycetes; Micrococcales; Microbacteriaceae.